Gordionus sp. m RMFG-2023 is the source of this 284-nucleotide long non-coding RNA. RefSeq lists it as uncharacterized. The record is from RefSeq and is a predicted model, not a curated record. The transcript is spliced from 4 exons. Lineage: Eukaryota; Metazoa; Nematomorpha; Gordioida; Chordodea; Parachordodidae.
AUUUUUAAAUUCAAAAAUGUGGAUCUCAAAUAAUAAACUUGCACAAUGGGAAUAUCAAUCUACUACAAAAGAUGUAAAAAAGGAUAAAAUUCUAAAAAUUAGAUUGCUGCAUGCAAUAGAUUCUUCAAUUAUGUGUAAAAUUUAUAAUCAAGCUGCAAAUAUUUUUUAUAAUUUGCAAAAAAUUAAUCAUUUGGAAAACAAAAUAAAUACCAAUAUUUUGGUGACUCAUAGUCUUAAAUAUAGAGCUAUAAUUAAAUCUGCAAUUUUAGAAUUACAAGAAUCAG